CUACGGGGUGCUGCAGUGGGGAAUAUUGGACAAUGGGCGCAAGCCUGAUCCAGCAAUCCCGCGUGAGUGAAGACGGCCUUAGGGUUGUAAAGCUCUUUCGCUAGGGAAGAUAAUGACUGUACCUAGUAAAGAAGUCCCGGCUAACUCCGUGCCAGCAGCCGCGGUAAUACGGAGGGGACUAGCGUUGUUCGGAAUUACUGGGCGUAAAGAGUUCGUAGGCGGACUGACAAGUUAGAGGUGAAAUCCCAGGGCUCAACCCUGGAACUGCCUUUAAAACUGUCAGUCUAGAGACCGGAAGAGGUUAGGGGAAUACCUAGUGUAGAGGUGAAAUUCGUAGAUAUUAGGUGGAACACCAGUGGCGAAGGCGCCUAACUGGUCCGGUACUGACGCUGAGGAACGAAAGCGUGGGGAGCAAACAGGAUUAGAUACCCCGGUAGUC
Molecule: ribosomal RNA, 439 nt
Filed under: uncultured bacterium
Lineage: Bacteria
Description: partial 16S ribosomal RNA
Rfam family: Bacterial small subunit ribosomal RNA
Source: RNAcentral